CAUGUUUCUACUGACUGUUACGGAACUUUUGGACAUUUCAUCAUGUUAUAGAGGACGCGCUUUGUGACUUUGGAAUUGUUUACCAAAUGCGCUAACCAAGGUAGCUAAUUGGACAUAGAUAACGGACAUUUUCGAACAAAUCAAGCAUUUAUUGUGGACCUGGGAUGUCUAGGACUGCAUUCUGAUGAAGCUCAUCAAAGGUGAUGUGCCUUUCAGGUGGCAAUGGAGGAGAUGGGGAACAAAGUGAAAAUGACAUGGCUUGGGAACACCUCUCGGAUCCUGGGGCCGGAAAGGGGAAAACUGGGCGAAAGCUUAAGGAGGCUUUUUAGGCUUUCAUUGUUGUGGAAUGCAGCAGAAAAGU
Oncorhynchus tshawytscha (Chinook salmon) is the source of this 361-nucleotide long non-coding RNA. The record is from Ensembl. NCBI's taxonomy places the organism in Eukaryota, Metazoa, Chordata, Actinopteri, Salmoniformes, Salmonidae.